ACUUGGAGUCGACGGAGAACUGUAAAUGCACGAGUACAUUCAAAAAUGUGUAAACAAAAGGUUCACUUUCUGAAAACGCUUUCUAAAAUGUGACAGAGAUAACCGACACAAGAUCAUUAAAACAAUAUGAGUAUUGUUUUCGAAUGGUGAAAGAAGCAUUAGCUAGUUGAAGAGUGCAAAUUUUGGUUAAGAAGAAAUUCAUUGGUAGAAUGUAGGCUUGAACCGUUAGUCGUCAACAAAAGUGGAAUUUUAAAGAUUGCAUCUGAAAUCCUUAAAUUUUAAGAAAAUCCAUCCUUAAGU
This is a non-coding RNA of Schizosaccharomyces pombe (fission yeast), 300 nucleotides long. The record is from the annotation of a GenBank genome assembly. Lineage: Eukaryota; Fungi; Ascomycota; Schizosaccharomycetes; Schizosaccharomycetales; Schizosaccharomycetaceae.